RNA transcript from Chelonia mydas (Green sea turtle), 1047 nucleotides. It is a transcript of the gene named translocase of inner mitochondrial membrane 9, with no coding region annotated. NCBI's taxonomy places the organism in Eukaryota, Metazoa, Chordata, Testudines, Cheloniidae. The transcript is spliced from 5 exons. The record is from RefSeq and is a predicted model, not a curated record.
GUAAAUCUAUCAGCGGAUCCCUAUGUGCCGAUUCGUGUCCACGCGGAGUGAGGUGGGGUGAAACGUAGCGAAUUUGCGGGGCGGAAGGAGGAGCUGAGGCUGCCGGUUCCCCCACGUGUUGAGAGGCGCUGGGCGCGGAGCGGGUGGCUGAUUGCAGACCAAUAGAAUAUGGCUGGGCAAAUAUCAGAAUCUGAUCAGAUCAAACAGUUCAAGGAGUUUCUUGGGACAUACAAUAAACUUACAGAAACCUGUUUCCUGGAUUGUGUGAAAGAUUUCACUAGCAGGGAGGUUAAAUCAGAAGAGAUGACGUGCUCAGAACACUGCCUACAGAAAUAUUUAAAAAUGACGCAGAGGAUAUCCAUGAGAUUUCAGGAGUAUCAUAUUCAGCAGAAUGAAGCUCUAGCUGCCAAAGCAGGACUUCUUGGGCAACCUCGUUAAACAAAAGAGAAUUCUAUUCCAACCUUGCUUUAAAGCAGUGCCAACGUUUGCUGGAUUACAAGUGGAGGUGUUCUGUUGUGGGUGUGUCCACCAGCUCACAGCAGAGUUUCAGAGACCGUUUGGCACGUGGAAACCAUUGGGGAAACAAUUAUGGACUCUACCAAGAGUUGGACUGUCGUAUGUAAGAUACAGAAGGUAACUGUCCUGCUCUACUCUGCACUGGUGGGGCCUCAGUUGGAGUACUGUGUCCAAUUCUGGGUAUCACACUUCAGGGAAGAUGUGGACAAAUUGGAGAGAGUCCAAAGGAGAGUAACGAAAAUAAUACAAGGUUUAGAAAACCUGACUUCUGACGAAAGGUUAAAAAAACUGGGCAUGUUUAGUCUUUGAGAAAAGAAGACUGAGCAGGGACCUGAUAAGUCUUCAAAUAUGUAAAGGGCUGUUAGCAAGAGGAUGGUGAUGGAUUGUUCUCCGUGUCUACUGAAGGGUAGGACAAGAAAUAUUUGUCUUAAUCUGCAGCAAGGGAGAUUUAGGUCAGAUAUUAAAAAACUUUCUAACUAUUAGGGUAGUUAAGUCCUGGAAUAGGCUUCCAAGAGAGGUGGUUGAAUUCCC